GCCAUAUAGUUUCAAGUUAAAGAAAAGUUGUCGUUGAAAAAUGCUUACUUUAUCGUUAUCACGGAUGUUUUGGAUGAAUUACAUCGGUUGCUCGGGCUAACUUCAUUCAUUUGCAUAAAAUGUCUGCGACUGAUGAGUACUGUUGCUAGGCGUUACAAAGAGAGAAGUUCCGGAAGAGCUGCCUACAAAAGAAAGAAACCCAGCAACUGGUACUCGCCGGUCCAAAGAACCAGCGAUCUGAGAGGACAGCUGAAAAGUUCUAGCGAAACAGAAAGAAUGGGUGACAAAACAAGUGAGCAAACUGACAAAGCCGCAACUUCAGGCAGCAAUUAGUGUGCCAGAGAGUGUGACAAAGCCAGUGCGUGUGCUGCUUGUUUUAGCAGUCCCGGGCAAUCAACCUGGAGAUGGUGCCCACGAGACCGAGAAAAGGAUUAAACUCCACGCUGGUAUGUGUGCGGCAACUGCCGGGACAUGCCAACACAAAGAGAAAGAGUUUUUGGGAAGUUCGUCUUUCUUAUACUGCUUUUAAAAUCUUAUCGAAACUAAAAUUCAACAUGUAUCUAAGACACUAGUGUAACUAAACGUUAAGUAAAGUAGUUAUAGAUAAACAAUUUUAUUAAAUGUCAUGUGUCAUUAGAAAAUACUUGUACAUUAUUUAAUACUGCUGGUCAGUUCUUGAGAUAUUUACUGAGAAAUGGAUAUCUGAUAACUCAUUUUCUACUGAUUACUGCUAACGUAGUCUUGUGAAGUUUCAAAGAACAGCAUUCUGAGUAUCAUCAUAAGGCUUUAAAUAUCUUAACAUGCAUGUAGUCACACACAGAUAGAACAAAUUGAAUUGUUGGACGAUAUGAAAUAUGGGCAGUUUUCUUGUAUUAAACAGUUGUAAGAUAUUUUAAAUGCUGGCACAGUUUGUCUCUAUACCAAGUAAUUAAAAAUACCGAUACUAUUGUUAAGGUGAGUACUGAGUAUUGCUGAGUACUUGCUUGAAAAUUUGUACUGAAGUAAGAAUGAUGUUAAUUCGCUCAUCCCUGAAUAUUUCUUAUUUAAAAUCUUAGCCUAAGUAUCUUCGAUUAAUGCCAGUGUCUUAUGAUAUACCUUUCCUCUAAAAAGGACUUUGACCUCCUUGUUUUGAACAAGGGGGUUCUAGCCCUAACCCGUUUGAUAAGGCGAGAUAUCCUCAUGUUCACUGAAGGGGAGGACCUGCGAUGAUCCAACCACCAUCAGGCUCACAGAUAAUUUAUAUUGUUGACGCAUGGUUAUUUUGGGGCUGGUGACAGGAGAGAAUUCCCUCAUGUGGUGUAUGGAGAAUCCGGGAAAAUUUCCCUGAUCCAAAUGGACAAAGCACAGGCUUUGUGCCAGGUCGGGUUCAGUCGAUGAACACAACUACUGCAUAAACUAUCAAGGAUCUCUAAUCAUUUUUAAAAUGUUAAAGUAAAAUGAUAUUAAAACAUAAUGACCAUGUCAUGUUUAUGUAUAUUAUUGUAUAUGACUUGUUUUCCAAAUACAAAUUUGAACUGUC
Mya arenaria is the source of this 1519-nucleotide long non-coding RNA. RefSeq lists it as uncharacterized. The record is from RefSeq and is a predicted model, not a curated record. Lineage: Eukaryota; Metazoa; Mollusca; Bivalvia; Myida; Myidae. The transcript is spliced from 3 exons.